Paramuricea clavata is the source of this 725-nucleotide non-coding RNA. The record is from the annotation of a GenBank genome assembly. Lineage: Eukaryota; Metazoa; Cnidaria; Anthozoa; Malacalcyonacea; Plexauridae.
AUUUAAUAUCCGUACCCCCCCUGUCGAGGAUCCCUGGAAUUCUUCAGGGGUAAAAGGUUUUGAGCUUGGAAUUCUUCAGGGGUAAAGUGUUUUGUGCUUGGAAUUCUUCAGGGGUAAAGUGUUUUGAAUUUGGAAUUCUUCAGGGGUAAAGGGUUUUGAGCUUGGAAUUCUUCAGGGGUAAAGGGUUUUGAGCUUGGAAUUCUUCAGGGGUAAAGAGGUUUGAGAUUGAAAUUUUUCAGAGCUUGGAAUUCUUCAGGGGUGAAGGGUUUUGAGCUUGGAAUUCUUCAGGGGUAAAAGGUUUUGAGCUUGAAAUUCUUCAGGGAUAAAGGGUUUUGAGCUUGGAAUUCUUUAGGGGUGAAGGGUUUUGAGCUUGGAAUUCUUCAGGGGUAAAGUGUUUUGAGCUUGGAAUUCUUCAGGCUAAUGUGUUUUGAGUUUGGAAUUCUUCAGGGGUAAAUGGUUUUGAGCUUGGAAUUCUUCAGGGGUAAAGGGUUUUGAGCUUGGAAUUCUUCAGGGGUAAAGAGGUUUGAGAUUGAAAUUUUUCAGAGCUUGGAAUUCUUCAGGGUGAAGGGUUUUGAGCUUGGAAUUCUUUAGGGGUGAAGGGUUUUGAGCUUGGAAUUCUUCAGGGGUAAAAGGUUUUGAGCUUGGAAUUCUUCAGGGGUAAAGGGUUUUGAGCUUGGAAUUUUGGAAUUCUUCAGGGUAAAAGGUUUUGAGCUUGGAAUUCUUCA